AGUGGGGAAUAUUGGACAAUGGGGGCAACCCUGAUCCAGCCAUGCCGCGUGAGUGAUGAAGGCCCUAGGGUUGUAAAGCUCUUUCAGCGAGGAGGAUAAUGACGUUACUCGCAGAAGAAGCCCCGGCUAACUUCGUGCCAGCAGCCGCGGUAAUACGAAGGGGGCUAGCGUUGUUCGGAAUCACUGGGCGUAAAGCGCACGUAGGCGGACUGAUCAGUCAGGGGUGAAAUCCCGGGGCUCAACCCCGGAACUGCCUUUGAUACUGUCAGUCUUGAGUCCGAGAGAGGUGAGUGGAACUCCGAGUGUAGAGGUGAAAUUCGUAGAUAUUCGGAAGAACACCAGUGGCGAAGGCGGCUCACUGGCUCGGUACUGACGCUGAGGUGCGAAAGCGUGGGGAGCAAA
RNAcentral lists this ribosomal RNA (402 nucleotides) under uncultured Nesiotobacter sp. RNAcentral describes it as "bacterial SSU rRNA". It matches the Rfam family "Bacterial small subunit ribosomal RNA", at positions 353 to 772 of the family's 1533-position model. The record is from RNAcentral. Lineage: Bacteria; Pseudomonadati; Pseudomonadota; Alphaproteobacteria; Hyphomicrobiales; Stappiaceae.